This 340-nucleotide long non-coding RNA is filed under the name Homo sapiens (human). Its description in RNAcentral is "PREDICTED lncRNA (TCONS_00253073)". The record is from RNAcentral. Lineage: Eukaryota; Metazoa; Chordata; Mammalia; Primates; Hominidae.
CGAUGACCCUAGGUUGGCUGACAUCAGUCGCUAGACCCGCAGCCCGCAGGCCCCGUUAGUCCCUGAACUGGCUUUCAUGGCCCAAGGUGUCUGUCAGUACUGCUGGGAAAGCUGCCUGUCCUGGACAUUUGCCAUCUGCUGCACCCAGUCCCGAGACCCCAACUCGGUCAUCCGAAGAAGCCACAUCUCUGGACAGCCCAGGAUCACCAGACACCUGAGAAAGAAGAAAAGGGACUCAGAAGAAACAGAGACGAUAAAGGAAGCCGAAGAAAAAUGAAAACUAAAAUGCCAUUCUCAGUCAAUAAAAAGGAACUGGGGGCUAUAGAGAAAGAAACCUCGG